GUAAUAUUUCAUAAAAUUUUAAACUUUCUCUUCAAAUGUUUAUAUCAGUCUUUGAAACCUGUAGCUAAAUUGUCUUUUAAAUCUCUCAAUUACACAGACUACAGGAAGAUGAAGAACCAGAAGACUGCAGCAAAAAUAAGUGACCCAGGAAGAAGACCUCCAGAGGACUGCAGCAAGUCACUCUCCAUUGAAGACAUCAAGGCAGCAGCAGAGAAGAAGAACAACAGCAGGCUCAGGAUUAUGAGCACUAGGAAGAAGGCCUCCUCUGCUCAACUUUUGUAAAAAAGUUCAUUUCUGUUGUGAUGUGUUAGUUUAUCACUUUUUGGAAAAAA
Long non-coding RNA from Toxotes jaculatrix (banded archerfish), 332 nucleotides. RefSeq lists it as uncharacterized. The transcript has 3 exons. The record is from RefSeq and is a predicted model, not a curated record. NCBI's taxonomy places the organism in Eukaryota, Metazoa, Chordata, Actinopteri, Toxotidae.